UACGUAGGUGGCAAGCGUUGUCCGGAUUUACUGGGCGUAAAGAGCGCGCAGGCGGCUGGGCCAGUCCGAUGUGAAAGCUUCCGGCUUAACUGGAAAAUUGCAUCGGAAACUGCUCGGCUUGAAGGUGGGAGAGGGUAGCGGAAUUCCCGGUGUAGUGGUGAAAUGCGUAGAUAUCGGGAGGAACACCAGUGGCGAAGGCGGCUACCUGGCCCACUCUUGACGCUGAGGCGCGAAAGCUAGGGGAGCAAACGGG
RNAcentral lists this ribosomal RNA (253 nucleotides) under uncultured bacterium. RNAcentral describes it as "partial 16S ribosomal RNA". It matches the Rfam family "Bacterial small subunit ribosomal RNA", at positions 524 to 776 of the family's 1533-position model. The record is from RNAcentral.